GUUCCUGUAGUUGAAGUAUACAACGGUGGUUUUUCAGGCCACAGGUCUUGGAGCGAGGCCGGGCAGGAACU
Molecule: transfer RNA, 71 nt
Filed under: Pelagodroma marina (white-faced storm-petrel)
Lineage: Eukaryota; Metazoa; Chordata; Aves; Procellariiformes
Description: tRNA-Glu
Source: RNAcentral